ACAGUAGUGUCCGUUACCCAGGACUGUACCCACUUUAUCCCCAAUUCCCACGGAGAUAUCCCGAAUACCCUACAUACCCCACUGUUAGACAAUAUUGAAAGCUGUGAUUACACACAUAUCUGGAUGGCGGAAGGUGAAAGAGCACAAAGAGUUGUAUAAUUCAGUGAUCGAAAGAAGCUGAAAUACAACAAAGCGCGUGCAUCAGUUAACACCAUCCAGAACCCCUAAACAAAUCCAAAGUUUACCUAACCUGUUUACUGUUACAUAUGUUGUGUGAUACCUUACUUGUGAGAUUUGUGAUCUCAUUUAUGUUGUGGAAUUUGAACAAAUAAUUUUGCAAAAUAAAAUAUUUUUGUAUA
This is a long non-coding RNA of Mizuhopecten yessoensis (Yesso scallop), 359 nucleotides long. RefSeq lists it as uncharacterized. The record is from RefSeq and is a predicted model, not a curated record. The transcript has 2 exons. NCBI's taxonomy places the organism in Eukaryota, Metazoa, Mollusca, Bivalvia, Pectinida, Pectinidae.